CGUGGGUAAUCUACCUUCGAAUUGGGGAUAACGUUGCGAAAGCGACGCUAAUACCGAAUAACAUCCAUUAACCUUCGGGUUUUUUGGAUCAAGGGUGGCCUCUACAUGUAAGCUACUGUUUGAAGAUGAGCCCGCGUACCAUUAGCUUGUUGGUGGGGUAAUGGCCUACCAAGGCAGCGAUGGUUAGCUGGUCUGAGAGGAUGAUCAGCCACACUGGAACUGACACACGGUCCAG
This 235-nucleotide ribosomal RNA is filed under the name uncultured bacterium. RNAcentral's name for it is "partial 16S ribosomal RNA". It matches the Rfam family "Bacterial small subunit ribosomal RNA", at positions 116 to 334 of the family's 1533-position model. The record is from RNAcentral.